Molecule: ribosomal RNA, 496 nt
Filed under: uncultured bacterium
Lineage: Bacteria
Description: SSU rRNA
Rfam family: Bacterial small subunit ribosomal RNA
Source: RNAcentral
AGAUUGAACGCUGGCGGCGUGCCUAACACAUGCAAGUCGAGCGGUAACAGGUGUAGCAAUACAUGCUGACGAGCGGCGAACGGGUGAGUAAUGCUUUGGAAUCUUCCCAGUAGUGGGGAAUAACCAGUCGAAAGAUUGGCUAAUACCGCAUACGUCUGUAAAGGGAAAGCGGGGGCUCGUAAGACCUCGCGCUAUUGGAUGAGCCAAAGUCGGAUUAGCUAGUUGGUGGGGUAAUGGCCUACCAAGGCGACAAUCCGUAGCUGGUCUGAGAGGACGACCAGCCACACCGGAACUGAGACACGGUCCGGACUCCUACGGGAGGCAGCAGUGGGGAAUAUUGGACAAUGGGGGAAACCCUGAUCCAGCGACGCCGCGUGUGUGAGAAGGCCUGCGGGUUGUAAAGCACUUUUAGUGGGGACAAAAGCUACGGACUAAUAUUCUGUGGUCUUGAUUUAACCCAAAGAAAAGCACCGGCUAACUCUGUGCCAGCAGCCGC